AAAUGGCUGAGUAUUAGGCAUUAGACUGUAAAUCUAAGGACAGAGGUGUGAGACCUCUUUUUACCA
RNAcentral lists this transfer RNA (66 nucleotides) under Rousettus amplexicaudatus (Geoffroy's rousette). RNAcentral describes it as "tRNA-Tyr". It matches the Rfam family "tRNA". Rfam says of the family: Transfer RNA (tRNA) molecules are approximately 80 nucleotides in length. Their secondary structure includes four short double-helical elements and three loops (D, anti-codon, and T loops). The record is from RNAcentral. Lineage: Eukaryota; Metazoa; Chordata; Mammalia; Chiroptera; Pteropodidae.